This 502-nucleotide ribosomal RNA is filed under the name uncultured bacterium. Its description in RNAcentral is "partial 16S ribosomal RNA". It matches the Rfam family "Bacterial small subunit ribosomal RNA", at positions 28 to 507 of the family's 1533-position model. The record is from RNAcentral.
GAUGAAUGCUGGCGGCGUGCCUAACACAUGCAAGUCGAGCGGCAGCGAGUUUUACACUGAAUUCUGGAAGCUUCUGAGUAGUACAGAAGAUUUAUUCAAGAGUUUUGUGUAAAAUGUCGGCGAGCGGCGGACGGCUGAGUAACGCGUAGGAAUUUGCCCCAAAGUGAGGAAUAACUGCCCGAAAGGGUAGCUAAUGCCGCAUAUGGUCUUCGGAUUAAAGCCUUCGGGCGCUUUGGGAGAAGCCUGCGUUGGAUUAGGUAGUUGGUAGGGUAAUGGCCUACCAAGCCGACGAUCCAUAGCUGGGCUGAGAGGAUGAUCAGCCAGACUGGAACUGAGACACGGUCCAGACUCGUACGGGAGGCAGCAGUGAGGAAUCUUCCACAAUGGGCGAAAGCCUGAUGGAGCAACGCCGCGUGAAGGAUGAAGGCCUUCGGGUUGUAAACUUCUUUUAUGAGUGAAGAAUAUGACGGUAACUCAUGAAUAAGCACCGGCUAACUACGUG